GGGGAAAUAGUUAAUAAUAACAUUUGAUUUGCGGUUAAAAAGUAUUGAAUAUUCAAUUUUCCUCA
RNAcentral lists this transfer RNA (65 nucleotides) under Ceratomantis saussurii. Its description in RNAcentral is "tRNA-Ala". Lineage: Eukaryota; Metazoa; Arthropoda; Insecta; Mantodea; Hymenopodidae. The record is from RNAcentral.